UAGGGAAACUUCGGCAAUGGGGGGAACCCUGACCGAGCAACGCCGCGUGAGUGAAGAAGGUUUUCGGAUCGUAAAGCUCUGUUGUUAAGGAAGAACGAGUGUGAGAAUGGAAAGUUCAUACUGUGACGGUACUUAACCAGAAAGGGACGGCAAACUACGUGCCAGCAGCCGCGGUAAUACGUAGGUCCCGAGCGUUGUCCGGAUUUAUUGGGCGUAAAGCGAGCGCAGGCGGUUAGAUAAGUCUGAAGUUAAAGGCAGUGGCUCAACCAUUGUAGGCUUUGGAAACUGUUUAACUUGAGUGCAGAAGGGGAGAGUGGAAUUCCAUGUGUAGCGGUGAAAUGCGUAGAUAUAUGGAGGAACACCGGUGGCGAAAGCGGCUCUCUGGUCUGUAACUGACGCUGAGGCUCGAAAGCGUGGGGAGCGAACAGG
Molecule: ribosomal RNA, 429 nt
Filed under: Bacteroidota bacterium
Lineage: Bacteria; Pseudomonadati; Bacteroidota
Description: Bacteroidetes bacterium partial 16S ribosomal RNA
Rfam family: Bacterial small subunit ribosomal RNA
Source: RNAcentral